GUUAGUGGAGGUGGAGUAUUCUCAUCAUGAUUUGUGCUGGCUCCUCUCUCCUCUCUCUCUCUCAACCCCACUCAGUCUGAGCUCAGCAGCCCAAUUUCUCAAUUUCUCAAUUUCUCUCAUGUAUAAAGUCCCCACUGUCACUUGAAUACUCUCCCUUUGUCUGACUCUCUGUCUCCAUUCUAAGCAUUCUUCUUUUUUCUUUUUUCUCAUUCUUCUUCUUACUUUUUCUCCUUCUUCAUGUGAAGAAGAAGAAGAAGUGACUAGUACAAUGUCUGGGUACUCAUUUCUGAACGACCAGCUCUCAAAGCGGACCUCCAUUUUCGGUUUGCACUUGUGGGUUGUUCUGGGAAUUUGUGUAGGAGCAGCCAUUGUUCUGGUUCUCUUCCUCAUAUCACUCUGGUUCACUUCACGGCGCAACAGUAGUUCCUCGAAAGCCAAGACCUUUAAUCAGAAUUCAACCAUCCCGAACGUCUCUAAGGAGAUCCAAGAAAUCCGAAUCGACCAUGCUCGGAACCCAGUACCCGACCCGAAUCCCAUCCAGCACCAGAACCACCCCGACCCGGUUGCUGACUCGGAGCCCUUGGCCAGAGCCCAAGCCCUGCUUCUUCAGCCGGAGGAUCAUGAGAGCCCCGCUGGGGGUGGUGGCCGACAAAGAAUUCACAUUGAGAUUGGGAAGGACCAUCGGAUUUCGUACCCGGAGAAGGGAGGCGGGUCCUCGCAUGGAAGUGGUGAGGCUCGUUCUGGGGACCAGGGGCUGAUGGCUGUGCCUGAAGUUUCGCAUUUGGGUUGGGGCCAUUGGUACACUCUCAGAGAGCUUGAGGAUGCUACUAAUGGGUUUGCUGAUGAGAAUGUGAUUGGUGAAGGUGGCUAUGGAAUUGUGUACCGUGGUAUCUUUGAGGAUAAUCAUAUGGUUGCUGUCAAGAAUUUGCUCAAUAACAAGGGACAAGCUGAGAAGGAGUUUAAGGUCGAAGUUGAAGCAAUUGGCCGUGUUCGCCAUAAGAAUUUAGUAAGGUUGCUUGGUUAUUGUGCUGAAGGAGCUCAUAGGAUGCUUGUAUAUGAGUAUGUUGACAAUGGAAAUUUGGAACAAUGGCUUCAUGGAGACGUUGGGCCAACCAGCCCUCUUACGUGGGAAAUUCGUAUGAAUAUAAUACUUGGGACAGCGAAAGGGUUGACAUACUUGCAUGAGGGGCUUGAGCCCAAGGUCGUUCACCGUGAUAUAAAGUCUAGCAACAUCUUACUUGAUAAGCAGUGGAAUUCAAAAGUAUCUGACUUUGGCUUAGCAAAGCUCCUGGGCUCAGAAAGGAGUUAUGUGACAACUCGUGUGAUGGGAACAUUCGGAUAUGUAGCUCCAGAAUAUGCUAGUACUGGUAUGUUGAAUGAAAGAAGUGAUGUUUAUAGUUUCGGAAUUCUCAUAAUGGAGAUAAUUUCUGGGAGAAACCCAGUGGACUAUAGCCGCCCUCAAGGAGAGGUGAACCUAGUUGAGUGGCUUAAAGCAAUGGUUACAAAUCGAACUGCUGAGGGAGUUUUGGAUCCUAGGUUACCAGAGAAACCUUCUUCAAGGGCACUGAAGCGUGCUCUUUUGGUUGCCUUGCGUUGUGUGGACCCGAAUGCUCAAAAGAGGCCAAAAAUGGGGCAUGUGGUACAUAUGCUUGAAGCCGAUGAGUUCCCUUUCCGAGAUGACCGCAGGGCUGGAAGAGAAUAUGGACGGUCACCGCAUGAUGCUUCAAGGAUGGACAAGCGCGUGAUUGAAUCAGGUGAUAGUAGUGGGUAUGAGAGUGGUGCCCAAACUAACCAGUCAUUAUGGAGAAAGCGAGAAUUGGAAGAAGAGCAUUAGCCUCACCAGUCACCAGUUUCACAAGUAAGAAAAAUGCAGAUAGUAAAGAGAAACAGCACAUUAAAAAAAAGGACUUGUCUUCCAUGGGGCUCUACCUCUCGCAGCUGUACAUUGUCGCCUGGUUUUUUCUUUUUACUGAAAAGAAUAAUUUAAGAUAGUAUCAUUAGCUCGCAUGAUUUAUGCGUUUGACUGUCAGAGACCACCGACACGGCAAAUCGGGGAGAAAGUAACUAAAGGCAACGACUGCCCGCGAAGGUUGAAUGUCUCUGAACGAAACAUCGUAUGACAAAAAAGAGCAAGCCUUGCCUUUAAUUAUAGGCUACUGUUACUUUAGAAAAGGAAAAGAUUGAAGCUUUUUCAUGGUAUUAUUCAAGAAGAAAAAAGAUAUUCUACAAGAAUAUAAUUUCUCUUCCUUCUUUGGAUGGAUCAACAAAAGAAAAACAAAGAAGCUGAAUAAUUGAUAUGCUCUUCGUAUAUUUAGAAUCUAACUACCCAGAAAUCUUGUGU
This is a non-coding RNA of Prunus mume (Japanese apricot), 2341 nucleotides long. Lineage: Eukaryota; Viridiplantae; Streptophyta; Magnoliopsida; Rosales; Rosaceae. The record is from RefSeq and is a predicted model, not a curated record.